RNAcentral lists this non-coding RNA (24 nucleotides) under Arabidopsis thaliana (thale cress). The record is from RNAcentral. Lineage: Eukaryota; Viridiplantae; Streptophyta; Magnoliopsida; Brassicales; Brassicaceae.
AGCUGGUCAAGAUGUGCUCUAUUU